Molecule: long non-coding RNA, 3185 nt
Filed under: Sus scrofa (pig)
Lineage: Eukaryota; Metazoa; Chordata; Mammalia; Artiodactyla; Suidae
Description: lncRNA (ENSSSCG00040067805.1)
Source: RNAcentral
ACAUUUGACCCAAGUUGUUCGGACUAAGGUUAAUUCAUGUUCCCUAUUAUAGCCCAUUAACCCUGGUCAUGACUGCAUAAGACAUACCUUCUUGGAUUCUGGAAGCCAUUUUAUAUGAAAGUCCCUUUCUAAUGACCUCAAAACAAAAGUGGGUAGAAGAGUAGAGUCUUUCAGAACUGGAUGUCCCAAACAAGAAUUAAGGUAAUAAGUCAGUACACCACCCACUAGGAAAAGACAGGUGAAGGAGGCAAGGGAGGUGGGAUGGAAGAGGUGGAAAUCAAACAUUUUAGUAUCUUCUGUGUAGUAGACGCUGAGCUAAACAUCAGAACUCUAGGUUGGGACCAGAUGAGCUGAGAGUUCUUCAAGAGUGUUUGGAUUAGAAGGAUCCCAACAAUCACCUCUUAUUUUGCUUAAAUCAAGGAAUCGUUACUGUCAUUUUUUUAACUCAAUGAAUUGUGUUGUAUUUAUGGUCAUGUAACCAUCAUCACAACCCAGUUUUGCAAUAUUUCCAUCCCAAACCACCAGCCCAUCCCUCCCACCCCCCACAUCCUGUCUUCUUUGGUAACUGUAAGUUUUUCAGAGUCUGCGAGUCAGUUCUAUUCUGCAAAGAAGUUCAUUGUAUCCUUAUUUUAGGUUCCACAUGUCAGUGAUAGCAUAUCCUUACUCUGUCUCUUCAAAUGAGUAUGUCCUUAUGCCACAAAUAUUUGGAGAGAUUUAGGGUUAUGCCCAAGCCCUGACAGCUGAUAAGAACCCAACCCAGGUCUCUUUGACUCUGCCUUACACCAAGCUGCCCACCUCUAACUUCUGUCCAUGGGCACUUUUCCAAGAAGAAAUCCAGGAUAUACAACUGAGUUCUGUAGGGACUUGGGGAUUCUGAAAGCUGAGCAGUAAGAUGGGAAAGAAAUGGAGGUAGGGAGUGGGGCACAGAGGUUGGUGGCAAUAAAAUGAACAUUACAGUGGCCCCCUGACUAUGGGUUUUUAUCCAUAGGAAGAUGACUAUAAAUCCUGAAUUACAAAAAUAGCAAGGCAACAACAGUUGAUGACUGUCCCAUAGUAUGCAUAUGAGGAGACGACAUUUUAUUUUUAUUUAUUUAUUCUUUAUUUCUGAUGUUUGAAUGACAGGGUGUUUUCAGAACUACUUAAAAUACCCUAAAGGAAUUCAAAAGUGAUGAAUUAUGGCAGAAGCAAAAAUAACAUUAUUUUCAGUUGACUUUUACAAAUUAUCUGUGUCCUCAUUUUUAAAGCAGAGGAUGUUUAAAAGGUGUUUUUCUUUAUGUCAUUAAUUCUAGACAUCUUGGUGAUUAAAAUGAAUUUAGUUUUGUCAGGUGUGUGUCGUAGGAUAAAUGCUAUAAAAGAACAAUUAAACUCUGUGUGAAGUGUAAGCAUCUAUGACAUAUGAGAAAAUAGAUUCUAAAAUAAAAUUACUUUAUGUAGAUGAAGUGUCUUUUAUAAUUACUUAUAAUUUAAAAGAAAUAUCUAUUAUAUCUUUCAUCUUCAUGACCUGGAUUGGAAUCUUUGCUCUGCUAUUUACUCCUAUGCGGCCUGAGUCGUCGCUUACUCUCUUUGAGUCUUGGUUUCCUCCUUUGUGGACUCAAUUUAAAAUCUGCUGCCUUGUCUUACUGUGAUGAGUAAAUGAAAUAAUACCUGUAAUGUAUUUAGCACGUAUUAACGUGCAGUCUGACAUCAGAAACAGAGAAAGUGAAAGAAAAACAUUAUGAAUUUAGAAGUUAGGACUAGAUGGCUAUGUCUCACUAUUUGGAUCUUUGCCAUCAUGGUUUUAUAUCAUCUAUUUAGCAAAUUACACGAAAAGACUCUUCUCAAGCAUUGUUACAUAUUUGUUCAUAAAGCUGGCUGAAUCCCCUGACACAUUUCGAGUAAUUAAGAGUUUCAAGCGAAAUAUGUUUAAUGUUAUACUGAUGCAUGUUUCUUUGAUGAUAGGCAUUAAAUGGAAUAACGAAUUGAAUUGAAUAAUUGAAUUGUCAAAGCCAUUCUGUGGGAGAAAUUAGUGGUACAAAAGUAAUUUGUGUUUCUAUCAAAGGACAUUGCGACUAACCAUAUUGGUUUUCAUGGUGGAAAACAAGUAUCUCAAACUUCUGAACCAACUAGUUGUAACAGAAUCCAUGUGUGCUUGAUUAAUUUGUGCUUUAAAUUAUCAUAGAACUACUUUAAAAAAGGAAAACUGUGAAAAAUAUGUGCUAGUGACUUACAUUUUUGAGCAGAGUGGUUUGAAUAGUCACUCUUCAGAAAUGAUUUUGGAUAAAUACAUUUUCUAAGCCUUGGCUUCUUUAUCAUUAAAAUGGAGAGAAUAACAACACAACUCAGGGAAUUGUUGUGAUAAUUAAUUGAGAUAAUACAUAAAAAUCAUCAGGCACAUUACAUAUGUAUAAGCAUUAGAGAUAUAUUGUCUUUCAAAUCCAUGUAAUUAUACUGGAAAGACUAUACUGAGGCAAUUUUUUUUUUUUUCCUAACUAAAUUUGUUUUUAAAUAAGUAGAUAGUCAUUGCCUGAUUGUGUUUUAUAAAUCUGAGUAAUUAGAGCUGAAUUUGAUUAAAACCAAGUUCACCAGCAUUAAAUUGUUUUGUAUUCAAAAUGUGCCUAUACUUAGGAAGAGAUUGGGAUACCAGUUAGGCUAGCAACGAAGAGAUUUUUUUCCAUAAGAUGUUGGCUUGUCCUAUUAGAUUCUUCAUGAUUAUACUGCCUCAGGGAAUCUCGCUGUACUCACACAAUUGCAGAAAACAUUGCCGUGUUCCAUUCUAGCAGUGGUCCCUUAAGAUUUUUGAAACAGAACCUAAUAACUGAUUAGGUUUCCUAUAUCUUUCCUGCUGUUCCUGUGAUGCUUUUGUUUGCCCUAUAAACAGUCAGCGGUAAGAAAAAUGUUUUCAUUUCUCCUGUUGCCCAGGCUAAAAAUUUGGCAGUUAAUCUCAAAUCUUGUAUUUCUCUUACCCACAAAGUCAAUUCAGGUACCUAGGUUUGCUGAAUGAAUCUCCUUAAUAUUCUGAAUUCUCCUUCCCUCCUAUUGAGCUACAUAGACAUUGACCCAGUUUAUACUUUCACUUUCUCUUACCUGAACUAAGGUUACCUUUUUGACUAACCUACCUCAAAUCUCAUCUCUCUCCUCCAUGCUGUAACACUAAAAUAGAAAUCUGGUAAUAUUACUUUUUUGAUUAACAACCUUCACAUUGAGUG